AGACUUUAUCCCCAUAGGAUCGACCUACGAUCAUGCUCAAGUUCCAGCCUUCCCAAACCUUUUUCUUCUCAAGCCACUAUUCUGUCAAUCAUUUCCUUUACUGUCAAAUGUUUGGAAAAGGUGGUUUGUACUUGCUGGUCUCACUUCACCACAUUUACCAAUCAACCUCUAUGUUCUGGUGACCACAUUCACCUAUUCAAACAAAUUGUUUCUCAAAGGUCACCCGCAGACAGAUUCAGGACUCUCUUCUCAGACCACAUCCUGCUUGGGCAUUCUGUAACGGUUGAUCUGAUGGGCAAGUCUAAGACCGCAGAAGUGGAAGACUUGGUUCAAAUUGUGGGUCCUGCAGGAGCAUGGUGACUUACAUUUCCUAGGGCUUCCCAGGGAGAUGGGACUCUGCAGGGCCUUUUACAUGAGAGCUUUGGUGGGCCUGAGUUUUGAGCUCCUGAAGAAUUUGUUGACAAACGAAGUCCGGGGUUUGGUUUCUCCAUCUGAGGAAUUUUUCUUCCUUCUUUGACUCAUGGUCAAGUUGAAAGUGGUCUUUCUCAAUAAGACAUCUUCCUGUUGUUUUCAGUUUCUGGGAUCACCGAGAAGCAAAAGACUCUGUCAAGACCGUGUGAAGUCAGAAUUUCCUUACAUGAGCUUUUAUUUCCCCCCUUUCUUUGUUUUUAUUACUGGUAAUGUUUAAUGUAAAAAUAAGAAUGAUGUAACCCAGGAUCCGGGAACCAACAGAUGGUGGCAGAUACACAUCUAAAGCAAACUUGGGUUUUUAACUUUGCCCCACUUUAUUGUGUGAAAUACAGGUCG
Long non-coding RNA from Acinonyx jubatus (cheetah), 807 nucleotides. RefSeq lists it as uncharacterized. The transcript has 3 exons. The record is from RefSeq and is a predicted model, not a curated record. Lineage: Eukaryota; Metazoa; Chordata; Mammalia; Carnivora; Felidae.